RNAcentral lists this ribosomal RNA (253 nucleotides) under uncultured bacterium. RNAcentral describes it as "partial 16S ribosomal RNA". It matches the Rfam family "Bacterial small subunit ribosomal RNA", at positions 524 to 776 of the family's 1533-position model. The record is from RNAcentral.
UACGGAGGGGGCAAGCGUUAUUCGGAAUCAUUGGGCGUAAAGGGCGUGUAGGCGGCUUUGUAUGUCUCAUGUGAAAGCCCUCGGCUCAACCGGGGAAUUGCAUGGGAAACUGCAAAGCUUGAGUCCGGGAGAGGAGAGUGGAAUUCCCAGUGUAGCGGUGAAAUGCGUAGAUAUUGGGAGGAACACCAGUGGCGAAGGCGGCUCUCUGGACCGGUACUGACGCUGAAACGCGAAAGCCAGGGGAGCAAACGGG